AACCCAUGAUGGGGAAAAUUUAUAGUGUAUCCUUUAAGUCUCUCCCAUGCUUCCUCAAAGGUCUCAUGGAUUUCUUGUUUGAAGCUCGAGAUGACUUUCCUAGCUU
Molecule: small nucleolar RNA, 106 nt
Filed under: Eutrema salsugineum
Lineage: Eukaryota; Viridiplantae; Streptophyta; Magnoliopsida; Brassicales; Brassicaceae
Description: Plant small nucleolar RNA R71
Rfam family: Plant small nucleolar RNA R71
About the family: R71 is a member of the C/D box family of snoRNAs containing the C (UGAUGA) and D (CUGA) box motifs. Multiple nearly identical copies of this snoRNA have been identified in Arabidopsis, and it is thought to function as a 2'-O-ribose methylation guide for 18S ribosomal RNA.
Source: Rfam by way of RNAcentral